UUAACACAUGCAAGUCGAACGGACGCUUGGGGCAACUUGAGCGUUAGUGGCAAACGGGUGAGUAACACGUGGGUGACCGACCUCAGAGUGGGGAACAACAGACCGAAAGGUUUGCUAAUACCGCAUAUGCUCGAUGAUUCAAUUUGUCGAGUAAAGGCGCAAGUCGCUCUGAGAGGGGCCCGCGUCCCAUCAGGUAGUUGGUGAGGUAAUGGCCCACCAAGCCGAUGACGGGUAGCUGUUCUGAGAGGAAGAUCAGCCACAAUGGAACUGAGACACGGUCCAUACUCAUACGGGAGGCAGCAGUGAGGAAUAUUGCGCAAUGGACGAAAGUCUGACGCAGCGACGCCGCGUGGGCGACGAAGGCCUUCGGGUUGUAAAGCCCUUUUGGCAGGGACGAGUGAGGACGGUACCUGUCGAAUAAGUCUCGGCUAACUACGUGCCAGCAGCCGCGGUAAAACGUAGGAGGCGAGCGUUAUCCGGAUUUACUGGGCGUAAAGCGUGCGUAGGCGGUUGGUCAAGUCAGAUGUUAAAGCCCCUGGCUCAACUGGGGGAGGUCAUUUGAUACUGGCCGGCUUGAGGGUGAGAGAGGAGAGUGGAAUUCCCGGUGUAGCGGUGGAAUGCGUAGAGAUCGGGAGGAACACCAGUGGCGAAAGCGGCUCUCUGGCUCACUUCUGACGCUGAGUGCACGAAAGCGUGGGGAGCAAACGGGAUUAGAUACCCCGGUAGUCCACGCCCUAAACGAUGAGGGCUGGGUGUCGGCAGGGUUACCUGUCGGUGCCGAAGCAAACGCGUUAAGCCCUCCGCCUGGGGACUACGAACGCAAGUUUAAAACUCAAAGGAAUAGACGGGGGCCCGCACAAGCAGCGGAGCGUGUGGUUCAAUUCGAUGCAACACGAAGAACCUUACCAGGGUUUGACAUGUAUGUGGUAGGAAACUGAAAGGGGCCCGACCCGCAAGGGAGCAUGCACAGGUGCUGCAUGGCUGUCGUCAGCUCGUGCCGUGAGGUGUUGGGUUAAGUCCCGCAACGAGCGCAACCCCUCUCGCUAGUUACAUGUGUCUAGCGAUACUGCCGGAUUAACUCCGGAGGAAGGCGGGGAUGACGUCAAGUCAGCAUGGCCUUUAUAUCCUGGGCUACACACACGCUACAAUGGGUGCUACAGAGCGUUGCCAAGCCGUGAGGCGGAGCUAAUCGCACAAAAGCAUCCUCAGUUCAGAUUGCAGGCUGCAACUCGCCUGCAUGAAGUCGGAGUUGCUAGUAAACGCGCGUCAGCUAUAGUGCGUUGAAUGCGUUCCCGGGCCUUGUACUCACCGCCCGUCACGUGAUGGAAGCCGGUAACACUUGAAGUCGGUGACUGAACCGCAAGGACAGAGCCGCCGA
RNAcentral lists this ribosomal RNA (1378 nucleotides) under uncultured bacterium. RNAcentral describes it as "bacterial SSU rRNA". It matches the Rfam family "Bacterial small subunit ribosomal RNA". The record is from RNAcentral.